GGUCCGAGGGGAACUUCCGGCCAGUGCCCUCGGGAUUUACUGCGCGUACCCUGCUCUCCGACUGUGUGGAGGUGUUAGUGGCCUGUGGAGCGCGGUGGAUGUGGGCAGCAAGCUCCGAGGAGCCCGGUUGACCUGUCGCUCAAGUGAAGCCGGCAGAAAUCCCCGAGGAGCUUUGGAAACCUGCGGUUUAGGUGGAGCCGGCGUCGCCUGGCCCGCGAGCGUGAGCGAGUUUCCUAGUAGCUGGCGCCUUGGGGACUGAAUCAACGACUCCUCCGCUUUUUAAGUUUUUUUAGGGUGUGGAAAAAGCCCGGACUCAGCCUUAGCUUCCAAAGCUGCAGAAACAGGACACCUUUAACAGCUGACUCUUGUAUCAUCAUCUUUACCCCAUUGUCAUCUGUUUUUCAAAAUGUAAUUUGAACCAGCUGUAUCAAAUCUACCUGUGGCAGUUGUUCAAAAUGCAGGUCCCUGAGCCCUGCCCCGGCAUGCCUCCUAAAGCCCAAGGUUUUAACCCCCACUAGAGUUUGAAAUUAAACCCUAUACUACACAGCAGAGAAGAACCUGGGAAGAGGCUCAGUGCUCUAGGAAAUAUAAUUCCUGAGCCUUUGGUAGUAUCUUGACCUGGACCAGCAAAACUGACAGGGAGCUAGCACCGCAGAAGUACUGUGCUUGUUGAUACCGAAGACUUUGACAGUGGAGACAUAGCUAUCCUGAUGACUCGGGCACAUUGAGUCAUAGCCCAGCAGAUUUACUGCAUUAUUAAGUAUGAGCUAAUAUGCUAUGUGAAGCAAAGAAGCCCUGUAUUUACUGCCACGCCGAGUUGAUACUCUCCUCCCUGGUAAUUACUCAAAUCAGCAGCUAGGUUUUUGGUAGGUUAUUGCUCAGACUCUUUGACCCUCCCCAAAGUCAUAAAUAUGAAUAGUACCUGGGUUUCUCGACUUGAAUCCCAGUUUAUAUGCCAGCUGAGAAAAGAAUAAAUGUUUUAGAAGCAUGCGGUGAUCCAAAUUGAAGGAAGUUUGGACUAUGGUUUUGUAAGACUAGUUUUUCCUUCAGACACUAUUAGAUUGCUUUUGUAGAAGAAGCCAACAGAGGAGAGAUCCAUGUGUAUGGACAGAGCUAGAGUGAUUGGUGCUUCAACAGCAGUCUCUUCAACUUUGCUUGAGUGUGGAGGCCACACAGAUCACAAACUCCAUUGGCUGCAAGAUACCUUUGCUCAAAAGGAGCUAACCACUGCACUGUUCCUCAGCAUAUCAAAGCUAAGCUGAAUUGUAUGCUACUAACGAUUUGGAAAGAUGAAAGAGAUUAACAGCACAAAGAUGCCAAUAAUUUUAAAUAUGAUCUUUAAAAAAAACUGCAUUCUUAAAAUGAGAGAGAUACACUCAAGGAAGAAGCAACUGCUCCAUACAUUAGCAUGUCCAAAAAUGAUAAUUAGACCUGCUGAGCUAUCUUUGCAACCAGAGAGGAACCAGCUUGAAAACAAAGCCGACACAAUGAGACGACAGCAGAAAAUGAAAAGAACUUGAGUCUUCAAUGAUGAUAAUGAAGUGAUGGACUAAACCUGGAGGGAGAAUACCUACUAUGGGCUUCCUGUCAUCUAAGGUAAUACAUGCCUUUGCUGUUUAAACCAGUGUUUAUUUUCUGUACAAGCUUCAUAAUUGGGCUUAGGUACCUGUUAACCCCUUAGAAUGUCCUUUUAUGCUUUUCAUGAUUUUGCUGAAGUCAUCUGAGAAUAACAGAAAAGCACAUUUUCUGAUUCCAUCCCCUUAGAUAUGACUUUGGGUCUCUCACUCUGAAUGAUCAUGGUUAAUAAAGCAUAGAAAGCACUGAGAAGAGUAGAAGGUAAGUAGAUAGGAUAAGAUAUCUGAUGAAGGAGAUGAUCCUGAUAAGGUAAGGUGAAAUGUGAAAGUUAGGCAGGAGAUGCAAGUGAGAAAAGAAAGAAGGUGGCUAUUCUGGGAAGACUCUUAGAAAGCCAGUCUUAGGGACAUAUGAACCACAUAUUUGGGAAGAGUUGUGAAUCUCACAUUAUAGUAAUGGCAUCACUUCAAUCCAUGUUAUCCUCUCAUGGGGAAAAAAAUCAGUGUUCAUGGGAUAUCAGAGAAUUCAUGCUUGUUUUCUUCAGAAACAGACUAAAUGUCUCAUGAUGACAGGAUGAUUUUAAAAUGAAAGGCUUGAUAUUAAUUAUCCUGUAAACGUCUGAGCGGUCCAUAGCAUUGCUUUCUUUCAGCCUGGCACAAGUCUCAUAAACUAGAAGAUGACCUUAACACUCAAUCUGUGGUAGUUCUCCCCCAUGACCUCUUACCCUUUUCUAAACAUCUUCAUAAAGGCGUGGUAAUAUUUCUUCUGUGAAUCAUAUGAGAGCUUUUCACAUGGAUUUAAACAGUAAAUCUAACAAUAGGCUUUUUUUUGCCUGAUCACUCAGGGGCAUUUACUUAUUCUUAUAUUUUAGACAUUUGAGAAAAAAUAAUUCCUAAAAAUAUUAUAUUCAAUUGUAUUUGAAGCCAUAAAGAGGAAGGAAAUAAUAAAUUAGAGUAGAAAUAAAUGAAGUAGAGAGUUGAUAAACAAUAAAGAGAAUCAAUGAAACCAAAAAUUGAUUAUUUGAGAAAAAUCAACAAAUUGACAAAUCUAAAGAUUAAGAAAAAAGAGAAAUACUCAAAUUACUAAAAUCAGAAAUUAAAGAGGGUACAUUACUACUGACUUUACACCAUUAUAAGAGAGUAUUAUGAACAACUGUAUACUAACAAAUUAGAUGACUUGGAUGAAAUGGACAAAUUCAUAGAAAGACACACACUACCAAAACUAACUAAAGAAAUGGAAAAUCUGAAUGGACCUUUAACAAGUAAGGAGGUUGAAUCAGCAGUCAAAAAUCUCCCAACACAGAAAAACCUUGGGCCAGAUAGAUGGCUUCAUUGUGAUUUCUACUAACAUUUAAAGAAUUAACAUGAAUACUCAAACUCUUCCAAUAAACAGAAUAGGAAAGAAUACUUCUUAACUCAUUGUAUGAGGCUGACAUUACCAUGAUACUAAAGCCAGACAAAAACACUACAAAAUAAGAAAAGUACAAACCAGAUUUCCUUGUGAAUGUAGAUAUGAAACUCCUCAACAAAUGCUAGCAAAUAGAAUUCAGCAGCAUGUUAAUAGGAUUUUAUGCCAUAACUGAAGGGGAUUUAUCCCAGAAAUGCAAGAGAAGUUUAACAUACAAAAUCAAUGAAUGCAAUUCACCACAUUAAUAGAAUGAAGGAGGGGAACCACAUGGCCAUCUCAAUUGAUGUCGAAAAGCAUUUGCAAAAUCCGACAUGCCUUUUGAUAAAAGCACUCAGUAAACUAGGAUCAGAAGGGAACUUUCUCAGCAUGAUAAUGGGUACAUAUUUUAAAACUCCAAGGUAACAUCAGCAUCAAGGGGAAAAAACUAAAAGUUUUUCCUCUAAAAUUAGGAGCAAGACAGAAUUCCUGCUUUUGCCACUUCUAUUCAACAUAGUAUUGGCAGUUCUGGCCAGAGUAAUUAGGCAAGAAAGAGAAAUAAAAUGUAUCCAGAUUGGAAAGGAAAAAGUAAAACUGUCUCUAUUUACAGAUUACAUGAAUGUAGAAAGCCCUAAAGAAUACACACAUAUACCCCUUUUAGAGCUAAUUAGUGAAUUCAGCAAAGUUUCAAGAUAAAAAAUCAACACACAAAACCAGUUGAAUUUCUGUACACCAGCAAUGAAAAAUCUGAAAAGGAAAUUAAGGACACAAUUCUGUUUUAUAAUAGCAUCCAAAAGAGUAAAAUAUUUAAGAAUAAAUUUAACCAAUGAGGCACAAAACUUGUACACCGAAAACUAUAAAACAUUGCUGAAAGAAAUCAAAGAAUAUCUAAAUAAAUAGAAAGAUAUUCUAU
Non-coding RNA from Sus scrofa (pig), 3868 nucleotides. The record is from RefSeq and is a predicted model, not a curated record. Lineage: Eukaryota; Metazoa; Chordata; Mammalia; Artiodactyla; Suidae.